GUAACCCGUUGAACAGCAGCAUGAUUCGCCUUUGCAAGGCGGGUGUCAGGGGUUCGAUUCCCCUAGGCUCCAC
This 73-nucleotide transfer RNA is filed under the name Mycobacterium paragordonae. RNAcentral's name for it is "tRNA-Ala". Lineage: Bacteria; Bacillati; Actinomycetota; Actinomycetes; Mycobacteriales; Mycobacteriaceae. The record is from RNAcentral.